RNA transcript from Cercocebus atys (sooty mangabey), 3341 nucleotides. It is a transcript of the gene named aldose reductase pseudogene, with no coding region annotated. Lineage: Eukaryota; Metazoa; Chordata; Mammalia; Primates; Cercopithecidae. The record is from RefSeq and is a predicted model, not a curated record. The transcript has a single exon.
AGGAGAGCAGUAAAGUGUUGGCAGUUGUAAAAAUGUGUCAAAUUUAUGCAAUUCUAUCUCUGAUUUACAAUUCAGCUACACAUGUUGGCAGAGGUGAACUGGUGGGCCUAAGGAAAUGCAACAAUAAUUCCUCCUCUCUUCACCCUGAAAUACCUUGAUCCUGACCAUAUAAUUUAUUAAAGUAGGUUUAGGGUAUGUUACAUUAAAGUGUAAAGGUAUUCUUCCUAGUGGAUGUGGAUAGUAUAAAGUUGUAGAAUCUUAGAGUGGUAGUGACUUUAGAGGAGAACUGAUACAGCAGUUCCUGAAUACCAGUCUCCAUCUAGGCCAACUGUAACAGUCACCUCCAGAGCUUUUAAAAAAAUGUAAACUCCUGGUCCACUCAAGGAGAUUUUGGCUUAGGAAGUCUGGAGUGGGGCCCAGAAAUUUGAACUUUAUAAAAGAUUUUUAGGUGAUUAUAUAAUCAGCUAAGUUUUGGUACAACUUUAAACUCUGUAAGAAUUCUUUCUACAACAUUCUUGGUAAAGAGUCAUGCAGUCUCAACUUUGACAACUUCUAUUUGAUGAGGCAACUUAUUUCAUUGCUUUAAAAGAUUUAUCUUGGACUGAACUAGGCACAGUUCUGGGUGGGAGUCUGGGGAGUGCAGCAGCCAUGGCCAGCCACCUUGUGCUCAACAACGGUACCAGGAUGCUCAUCCUGGGGCUGGGCACCUGGAAGCCCCCUCCAUGCCAAGUGACUGAGGCUGUGAAGGUGGCCUUCGAUAUUGGGCACUGCCACCUCGACUGUGCCCAUGUGUGCCAGAAUGAAAAUGAGGUGGAGGUGGCCAUUCAGGAGAAGCUCAGGGAGCAGGUGGUGAAGUGUAAGGAGCUCUUCGUUGUCAGUAAGUUGUGGUGCAUGUGCCAUGAGAAGGGCCUGGUAAAAGGAGCCUGCCAGAAGACGCUCAGUGGCCUGAAGCUGGACCACCUGGACCUUUACCUUAUUCACUGGCCAACUGGCUUUAAGCCUGGGAAGGAUGAAUCAGGCAGUGUGGUUCCCAGUGACACCAACAUUCUGGACACAUGGGCGGCCAUGGAAGAGCUGGUGGAUGAAGGGCUAGUGAAAGCUAUUGGCAUCUCCAACUUCAACCAUUUCCAGGUGGAGAGGAUCUUAAACAAACCUGACUUAAAGGAUAAGCCUGUGGUUAACCAGAUUGAGUGCCACCCGUACUUCACUCAGGAGAAGUUAAUCCAGUACUGCCAGCCCAAAGGCAUUGUGGCGACUGCCUACAGCCCCCUCGGCUCUCCCUAUAAGUACUGGGCCAAGCUCGAGGACCCUUCCCUCCUGGAGGAUCCCAGGAUCAAGGCGAUCACAGCCAAGCACAAUAAAACUACAGCCCAGGUCCUGAUCCGGCUCCCCAUGCAGAGGAACUUGGUGGUGAUCCCCAAAUCUGUGACACCAGAACGCAUUGCUGAGAACGUUAAGGUCUUUAACUUUGAACUGAGCACCCAGGAUGUGACCACCUCACUCAGCUACAACAGGAACUGGAGGAUCUGUGCCUUGGUGAGCUGUGCUUGCCACAAGGAUUACCCCUUCCAUGAAGAGUUUUGAAGCUGUGGUUGCCUGCUCAUCCCUAAGUGACCUAUACCUGUGUUUCCUGCCUCAUUUGUUUUCAUUGCAAAGGUAGUAUGGCCUGUGUCACUCAGCAGUGGGACAGCAAACUGUAGAGUGGCCAGCAAACUGUAGAGUGACCAGCAAGGGUGUGUCCAGCUUGAUGUUGGAUCUGAAGAGCCCUGUCAGUAGAGUAGAGGUCUCUUCCAGUUUGCUUUGCCCUUCUUUUUGCCCUGCUGGGGAAAGUACAACCUGAAUACCCUUUUCUGACCAAAGGGAAGCAAAAUCUACCAGGUCAAAAUAGUGCAAGUAACAGUUGAGUUUUGACUGCUUGGAACUGUAACCCUUUCAGCAAGACUUCUCUUUGCCUCAAAUAAAAAGUGCUUUUGUGAGCUUGAAAAAAAAAAAAAAGGUUUAUCUUGGACUGAACUACAACCUACCACUUUGUAAUUUCCAGCCACAAGUAUUGUUCUUUCUUUGGGAAGGAGGAAAAAGAAACUAAUUUUGAUCAGCAUUUACUAUAUUAUAUUUGCUGUGCUAGGUAUCAUUGCCUCUUACUGUAUGCUUGAAAAAACUAAGGUAAUUUCCUUGGCUGCAAAAUGGAGUAUCCGAGUAGAUCAGCAGUUAUCAAAAUGUGGCCUGUGGACACAGGGGAUCCCUGAGACCCUUUCAGAGGGUGUGUUGUCAAAACUAUUUUCAUCAUAAUGGGAAAUUGCUAGUUGCCUUUUUCACUGUAUUGACGUUUGCACUGAGUAUGCAGAGCAAUUUUGCAUUAAAACUGCUGGUGCCUUAGCACACAUUAAGACAGUGGCACCAAAUUAUGUUAGUAGUCAUUGAAUUCUUUAUUAUUACCACUCAUGAAAACAAACAAACAAAAAACCAGUUUCACUUAAGAGCAUUGUAGAUGAAACAGUAAAAUUAUUAAUUUUAUUAAGUCUUGACCCUUCUUUAAUACUCUAUGUGCUGAAAUGGGGAGUAUGUAUAAGGCACUUACACUACAUACCCAAGUAUGAUGGUUAUCUUGAGGAAAAUCACUUGUAAUUGAGUUGAACUAACUACUUUUUUCAAAGAACACCAUUUUUUACUUGAAAGAACAACUAACAAACACACAAUGGUUAUUUAGACUUAAAAACCUGGCAGACAUAUUCUCAAAAAUGAACAAAGUGAGCCCGCCUAUUUUGAGGAAAGCAAGUGACACUUUUUUGUCAAUAAAAUUUGAGCUUCCAAGAGCAAGUGAGUAGUUUGGAAAGCUUUUACCCACCACCACAAUCAUGAUUGCUUCCCAGUACUUAAAAACCUUUCUGAUAAGAUUGGGUGGUGAUAUUAAGAAAUGUGGUUUUAACAAUAUUGCAUAAUAGAACAUGUCAAUGUUUUAAACUCAGUGAGCCAAUGUUUCUCAAAUGAAGUAAUGUAUGGUGUUACAAAGUCAGGUAUAGCUAAAAGAUCCAUUUAAAGGUGAUUUGAUUUUAGAGUAAUGGAAUACAAAAAGUUUAUUGAUAUUCAAGUUUUAGAUUCCAUAUUGCAAUUAACCUUUGAGAAAUGAUUACUUGUCAAAUUUUGAUGUAAUAUAAAAGAAUAGCCACAAUUAUUUGAAAAGGCUAUUAAAACAUUCUGCCUCUUUCUAUCUGUGUGAAAAUGGAUACUUUUCAUGUACUUCCACCAAACCAACAUAUCACAACAGAUUGAAUGCAGUAGCACCUGUGAUAAUCUAGCUGUCUUUUUCUAAACCGGACAUUUAAGAGAUUUGCAAAAAUGUA